This 188-nucleotide unclassified non-coding RNA is filed under the name uncultured fungus. Its description in RNAcentral is "sequence contains ITS2". The record is from RNAcentral. Lineage: Eukaryota; Fungi.
UAACCCUCACCAUUAGGAUGUCAAAGUCUUGAUGGUGGAUUUGGAUUGUGCCGUAGUUGGCUCAUCCUGAAAUGCAUUAGCUUGCGCUUUUUAGAGUGCUCGGCAUGGUGUGAUAAUUAUCUGCGCCGCCGCCUUAUGCCUCUUCUAUACGUGCUGCUUACAGUCGUCCGAACGGACAAUAACUUAAG